RNAcentral lists this ribosomal RNA (439 nucleotides) under uncultured bacterium. Its description in RNAcentral is "partial 16S ribosomal RNA". It matches the Rfam family "Bacterial small subunit ribosomal RNA", at positions 338 to 795 of the family's 1533-position model. The record is from RNAcentral.
CCUACGGGAGGCAGCAGUGGGGAAUAUUGCACAAUGGGCGAAAGCCUGAUGCAGCAACGCCGCGUGAGCGAUGAAGGCCUUCGGGUCGUAAAGCUCUGUCCUCAAGGAAGAUAAUGACGGUACUUGAGGAGGAAGCCCCGGCAAAUUACGUGCCAGCAGCCGCGGUAAUACGUAGGGGGCUAGCGUUAUCCGGAAUUACUGGGCGUAAAGGGUGCGUAGGUGGUUUCUUAAGUCAGAGGUGAAGGGUUAGGGCUCAACCGUAGUAUGCCUUUGAAACUGGGAAACUUGAGUACAGGAGAGGUAAGUGGAAUUCGUGGUGUAGCGGUGAAAUGCGUAGAUAUUAGGAAGAACGCCGGUUGCGAAGGCAGCUCUCUGGACUGUAACUGACACUGAGGCACGAAAGCGUGGGGAGCAAACAGGAUUAGAUACCCCAGUAGUC